CCUACGGGAGGCAGCAGUGGGGGAUAUUGCACAAUGGGGGGAACCCUGAUGCAGCGACGCCGCGUGGGUGAAGAAGCGCCUCGGCGCGUAAAGCCCUGUCAGCAGGGAAGAAAAUGACGGUACCUGAAGAAGAAGCCCCGGCGAACCACGGGCCAGCAGCCGCGGGAAGACGUAGGGGGCAAGCGUUAUCCGGAUUGACUGGGUGGAAAGGGGGCGCAGCCGGCGGUGCAAGCCAGGAGUGAAAGCCCGGGGCCCAACCCCGGGACUGCUCUUGUAACUGCGUGGCUGGAGUGCAGGAGGGGCAGGCGGACUUCCUGGUGUAGCGGUGAAAUGCGUAGAUAUCAGGAGGAACACCGGUGGCGAAGGCGGCCUGCUGGACUGCAACUGACGUUGCUGCCC
Molecule: ribosomal RNA, 399 nt
Filed under: uncultured bacterium
Lineage: Bacteria
Description: partial 16S ribosomal RNA
Rfam family: Bacterial small subunit ribosomal RNA
Source: RNAcentral